This is a long non-coding RNA of Notolabrus celidotus (New Zealand spotty), 1376 nucleotides long. RefSeq lists it as uncharacterized. The record is from RefSeq and is a predicted model, not a curated record. The transcript is spliced from 5 exons. NCBI's taxonomy places the organism in Eukaryota, Metazoa, Chordata, Actinopteri, Labriformes, Labridae.
CAGGCUAAUGUUUACAAAGAUUAAAUAUAUUUCAGUAAGCUAAGUGUGGAUGAAAUGAUCAGAUUGGCCUUUGCAGUUUGCUAUAAUUUCAUUGUUUUGCAAGUUUUUGCAGUUUCGAGCAACAACAAAAAGAGAGAGAAAUAAAGUUUGUUUUUGGCCUGAUAGCAUUCAUAGGCUGUAUAAACACCUAUGAGAAACACACACCUUGCUCUUACAGUUUCUUUCCAAGGAGCUACUUCAAGUGUGAAACUGUUUGUUGUAAUGCAAUAAUGUCAGGAUAGUUUACUGUGAAAGGACGUAGUUACCAUAACUAUCUAUAAGAAACAAGUAAGAGUGGACAAUGUUGGUGGCUAACAUAUAGAUGAUAUGGAGGACGGUGAAGAUAAGGACUGUCAGAACAAGCUGAAUUUAAACUCUUUGACCUUGAAAUGUCCCACUGUUAGCACUGGCUUCUUCUGCCCCCUGCCCCAGGGAAUGAAGGUCUGCACCCGGUUCCACAUUUUCUUCCACAAUGCCGAUCCCUCCCAGCGCAACUUGAGCAUCAUCAGAUCACCUAAGUCUUUGUCCAGGGUGAUCAGGAAGGUCACAUCCUGGUUGGUAGUUUCCUCCGUUGGGGUAAAAGUCAUAAUGUGCCACAGCCUGCUUGAUGCCCACACUGAGGCCCAUUCGCUCGUGGGUGAAGGUGUGGAUGGCAUCAACAAACUCAGCGUCAUCUGGAGACAGUCUGUCUGUGGAAGACAUGCCUUCAAACAGAGGCCCAGCUGGAUCCAGACCUGAGCAGAGACAACAUGCAGUCAACAGCAGGACUCCCCCCUCACUGGUCCCAGUUCCAUGUUUUGUAUCCAGUGCUUCAACUCAGUGAAGUGGAAGAGAAGUUGACCUUACCGACCACCCGUGAGUGAUGAUGAUGAGGGGAUUACUGCUGUUGAAGCCACAGGAGGUGAGCGUGUGCAGCUGCAGAGGGUCCAGUGUGCAGGUGUCUUCACCUUCUAAAAACAGCCUGAAGACCGAACUGCUGACAUGCAGCUCGUUCACCCUCAGGACUCCCCUCUGAUCUGUGUCCACUGUGCAUCAGAAACCAAACAGCAGAGGAGUUAUCUGUUUGUUCUUCCCGAUUAAACAUUCAGAACGAUCAGAACAUUUGCUUUGAGGUAAAUAAUUAAAAGUAAUGCAUAAUGAAAUGUAUCGUAAAUUAGAUUGAUGUAUUUGUAGAAUUAUCCAAGAGCAUAAAGGGGGAAAUGAGACCCUUCCUCAUGAGGCCUGUUUUGAAUGUAGGAUGACUAACUCUUUUUGGAAGUUCUUUGCUGUGUUUCCAGGUCAUAGCGUUCUCUUUGGCAGAUGCAUACAGAUAAAACUUCACAAAUAGUCCCAUCUCU